Molecule: long non-coding RNA, 878 nt
Filed under: Gouania willdenowi (blunt-snouted clingfish)
Lineage: Eukaryota; Metazoa; Chordata; Actinopteri; Blenniiformes; Gobiesocidae
Description: lncRNA (ENSGWIG00000000139.1)
Source: RNAcentral
GCACCCCAUAGUAUCAUAGCUACAUGUAUGACGUUUAAAAAAAAUAAAAAAUAAAUAAAGUUUGGAAAUCGGUUCAAACGAAUAAUUCUACUUAGAGAUUGAGAAAUACCUCUUUCAGUCGUAUUGUCCAUGCACCACUGCCUGGCACUGUUGGCGUGUCCCUCCACAGUCGAUGCGGCGUCUACGUUAAUGUCUAUGGGGGAGUCCUUUUCACACUGGUUCAGUUCUCCUUAUGAGGUCAAAAGUCGAGGUAUAAACUCGCCAUGGCUGACGGUGUAGGAAGCGAGUCUGGCAGAGAUUUAGAUUAUUUUACCAGAGUGAGUGUUGGAUUAUUUUGUGCAUCUCACGCGCUGGGUCAAAAUCCAUCAACCCAACAUACAUCGGUUGACUCAGCACCUGGGUUGUUUGGGCUUCGAACGUCAUGUCGACAGAGGGAGACUUUAUGCACUUUAUGCUCUCAUGUUAGCACCGGGAGAACCUGACUCAUCAUCCUCGUGGCGAGGCAAAUCAACAAUAAAAGAUCAAUGGACAGCUUUCAACACUUUGACAGAGUGGAAGCUGACAGACCUUGUAGAAAGAUUUAAAGGAAAUAUGGUACACCCUGAACAGAAGGCUGCGGUACAUCAGGAAGAGGCUAAGAUCAACCAGCAGGUUGCAGAAGAUGGCACAGACACUGCCUCAAACACUAGAUGAUGGCACUCUUACAAGGGCUCUCAUACCAGAAUGUAACAUAUCAGACAAACUUGCAUCACAGCUUAAAGAAUGGUUGGGAAAAAAUUCUCAGCCCCUCAGCCAGGUAAAGACAUACAUGCAGGACACAGCAGUCUACAGGGCCAAGUGCAUUAGGGACAAUAAUUGGACCAUUGAUCAGAUCUUAA